RNAcentral lists this transfer RNA (70 nucleotides) under Bostrichoidea sp. 9 KM-2017. RNAcentral describes it as "tRNA-Met". It matches the Rfam family "tRNA". Rfam says of the family: Transfer RNA (tRNA) molecules are approximately 80 nucleotides in length. Their secondary structure includes four short double-helical elements and three loops (D, anti-codon, and T loops). Further hydrogen bonds mediate the characteristic L-shaped molecular structure. tRNAs have two regions of fundamental functional importance: the anti-codon, which is responsible for specific mRNA codon recognition, and the 3' end, to which the tRNAs corresponding amino acid is attached (by aminoacyl-tRNA synthetases). tRNAs cope with the degeneracy of the genetic code in two manners: having more than one tRNA (with a specific anti-codon) for a particular amino acid; and 'wobble' base-pairing, i.e. permitting non-standard base-pairing at the 3rd anti-codon position. The record is from RNAcentral. Lineage: Eukaryota; Metazoa; Arthropoda; Insecta; Coleoptera.
AAAACGGUAAGCUAAACAAAGCUAUUGGGCUCAUACCCCACUUAUAGAGGUUACAGCCCUCUCCCUUUUA